GUAGAAUUCCAGGUGUAGCGGUGAAAUGCGUAGAGAUCUGGAGGAAUACCGGUGGCGAAGGCGGCCCCCUGGACAAAGACUGACGCUCAGGUGCGAAAGCGUGGGGAGCAAACAGGAUUAGAUACCCUGGUAGUCCACGCCGUAAACGAUGUCGACUUGGAGGUUGUGCCCUUGAGGCGUGGCUUCCGGAGCUAACGCGUUAAGUCGACCGCCUGGGGAGUACGGCCGCAAGGUUAAAACUCAAAUGAAUUGACGGGGGCCCGCACAAGCGGUGGAGCAUGUGGUUUAAUUCGAUGCAACGCGAAGAACCUUACCUGGUCUUGACAUCCA
This 330-nucleotide ribosomal RNA is filed under the name Enterobacter sp. RNAcentral describes it as "bacterial SSU rRNA". It matches the Rfam family "Bacterial small subunit ribosomal RNA", at positions 661 to 990 of the family's 1533-position model. The record is from RNAcentral. Lineage: Bacteria; Pseudomonadati; Pseudomonadota; Gammaproteobacteria; Enterobacterales; Enterobacteriaceae.